This 253-nucleotide ribosomal RNA is filed under the name uncultured bacterium. Its description in RNAcentral is "partial 16S ribosomal RNA". It matches the Rfam family "Bacterial small subunit ribosomal RNA", at positions 524 to 776 of the family's 1533-position model. The record is from RNAcentral.
UACGUAGGGGGCAAGCGUUGUCCGGAAUCAUUGGGCGUAAAGAGCGUGUAGGCGGUCCGGUAAGUCCGUUGUGAAAGUCAAGGGCUCAACCCUUGAAUGCCGGCGGAUACUGUCGGGCUAGAGUCCGGAAGAGGCGAGUGGAAUUCCCGGUGUAGCGGUGAAAUGCGCAGAUAUCGGGAGGAACACCUAUGGCGAAGGCAGCUCGCUGGGACGGUACUGACGCUGAGACGCGAAAGCGUGGGGAGCAAACAGG